CGGCGGACGGGUGAGUAACACGUGGAUAACCUACCUAUAAGACUGGGAUAACUUCGGGAAACCGGAGCUAAUACCGGAUAAUAUAUUGAACCGCAUGGUUCAAUAGUGAAAGACGGUUUUGCUGUCACUUAUAGAUGGAUCCUCGCCGCAUUAGCUAGUUGGUAAGGUAACGGCUUACCAAGGCAACGAUGCGUAGCCGACCUGAGAGGGUGAUCGGCCACACUGGAACUGAGACACGGUCCAG
Molecule: ribosomal RNA, 244 nt
Filed under: uncultured Staphylococcus sp.
Lineage: Bacteria; Bacillati; Bacillota; Bacilli; Caryophanales; Staphylococcaceae
Description: partial 16S ribosomal RNA
Rfam family: Bacterial small subunit ribosomal RNA
Source: RNAcentral